CCCUUAGAUGUUCUGGGCCGCACACGCGCUACACUGAUGCAUUCAACGAGUCUAAAACCUGGUCUGAUAGGGCUGGGUAAUCUUUUGAAAGUGCAUCGUGAUUGGGAUAGCUGAUUGCAAUUCUUCAUCUUCAACGAGGAAUGCCUAGUAAACGCAAGUCAUCAGCUUGCAUUGAUUACGUCCCUGCCCUUUGUACACACCGCCCGUCGCUCCUACCGAUUGAAUGAUCCGAUGAAUACCAUGGAUUGAGAGUACGAAUGGGUUCGCUCAUUUCUGCUGCUCGAGAAGUGGAGUAAAUCUUAUCAUUUAGAGGAAGGAGAAGUCGUAACA
Molecule: ribosomal RNA, 330 nt
Filed under: uncultured eukaryote
Lineage: Eukaryota
Description: partial 18S ribosomal RNA
Rfam family: Eukaryotic small subunit ribosomal RNA
Source: RNAcentral